This is a non-coding RNA of Schistocerca piceifrons (Central American locust), 73 nucleotides long. The record is from the annotation of a RefSeq genome assembly. NCBI's taxonomy places the organism in Eukaryota, Metazoa, Arthropoda, Insecta, Orthoptera, Acrididae.
GUUUCCGUAGUGUAGCGGUUAUCACGUCUGCUUCACACGCAGAAGAACCCCGGUUCGAUCCCGUGCGGGAACA